AAAACGUUUUGCGGUCGGCAUGCCAGUGUAACUGCUGUGAGUACAGUUCUGACCCGCUGUCAAGCACUGAAUUGCCAGCAGCCACAUGAAAGCCAGGUUGAAAAUUGGACAAUGCAAUCACAAAACUUUAAUCCCAGUUUCACAGGCUAAAGAAUUCCCACCAAGCUGACUAAUAUCCACGAUCUGGGACCAGUUAGCUUGCUCCAUCAAAGUUAUUCCCCUCAAAUCCCCUUCCCGCACAUACAAUUAAAGUAAAUGAUGCUCGGAUGGAACAUCUUGUGGCAAUAUGAGAAAAUAAAUAACUAGAUGUAGAUGGGAAUUACUUUUGCGUAUUUUGUUUUGCAUUUUGAUGAGUUUCGUCGAGUAUCGGGCGCACAUCCAAUUUAUGCCCACGGCUUUUUCCGUCUGACUACGACUAUCGCAAGGCAUUCACUCCACAUGAGUCUCUGUGUCUACUUCUACGUUAAUGUGUGUGUCUAAUAUAUCACGGAAUCGAUUUUACGCCCUGGUGGAGCAGCUUCUCGUCCCAUUCUCCUGCGGGCUUUAAGCGAGUUUGGCAACUUUAAGCACUUCUUAUCACUUAAACUCGCCGAAAGUGACCAUGAAUGCUUCAGGAAGUGAAUAUUUCAUUAAUGCGCCGACAGGGACAGCUGAUUGUCACCCAGUCCAUGGCCAUCCAAAUUAGAUCUGGGAGCUGGGCCGUAGGCCAGCGAACCGAGCCAAACCGAAACGAAGGAGUGCGUGGGCCAGCUCAAGAGUUCUUCAAUUAGGCCACAACGGACAGAGGCAUAAACAUUUUAAUGACUCACGAGAAAGGGCGAUCAAUGGCAGACAGUAUGCGAUGCAGACCCAAGCGCCCGCAGACACAUUCUUAUUCAUUAGCCUGGUCCGAACACCAAAAGGACACUCCACACCAGGCGAAAGGAUAGCGCCCGCCAUGGAAGCCCCAAGUGCGUCCUGGAAACUCGAGUCA
Molecule: long non-coding RNA, 973 nt
Organism: Drosophila gunungcola (fruit fly)
Lineage: Eukaryota; Metazoa; Arthropoda; Insecta; Diptera; Drosophilidae
Exons: 3
Source: RefSeq, a predicted model, not a curated record